ACACUUAAAGUAUGAAAUAUACUCCCAUCAGUUGGGGUAUUUUACAUUGAGUUCCCAUCGUGGCGCAGCGGAAAUGAAUCCUACUAGGAACCAUGAGGUUUGGGGAUCCGGCGUUGCCGUGAGCUGUGGUGUAGGUCGCAGACUUGGCUUGGAUCCUGCUUUGCUGUGACUCUGUCCUAGGCUGACAGCUACAGCUCCGAUUGGACCCCUAGCUUGGGAACCUCCAUAUGCCACGUGUGCAGCCCUAAAAAGACAGAAAAACCCCAAAACCAAACAAAAAAAUGGAGGUCCUCUCCGUUCCCCUCCCUCUCUAGUACUCCAUGCCUAUAGGGCCAGAUCCAGCCUCCAUUCUGACCCGAAUCAGGCUCUGUAUAUGCACCUUGGGCCUCUCAGCUCAUGCUUUCUCAGCACCAGCAUCCUGCUACCUCUGUCUCAGCGCUCUGCAUCCGAUAACUGGGCUCCUGACUGUGAUCAUUUGGUGCCCUUGCUAUUUCAACUGGGCCUGUGCUUUGCCAUGGUCAGUUCCCAUCUCUGGGUCUUCAGUUCUGCCCAGGGUCUGGACAUGUUAUCCAUGGACAACUCUCUUGGUAAGGCCAGCCUUCCUCCAGAAGUUCUGGUCUCUCUCCCCUGCCCUGGGUCUUGUGAUGCCAUGUUGGUGAGUUAGAAAUCCUCCCACUUCAUCUCACAACUAGACCACCUGGAACAAAGACCUCUCUUGCUGUGACCCCUGAGGCACGUGCUUUGCCCUCAGAACAAACCUGCUUGCUUCUGAGUCAUGUGUGGACAUCUCAGUUGCUGAGCCUGCUUCUGGGAACGAGCUCCUAUCCCACAAGCCGCCUCUGAAUUCCCAGAUCCCACAGUCCAGGUUCAGCACAAACGCCGACCAAUCUCCUAGGCUCUCUAUAGCCACAUGUGCAAUAAUAGUUAAUAUUCAGAGGGGUGACCUCAGGCAGUGCAGAUUUCAAAAGCAAGAAAUAAAAAUGUUGCUUCUGCUCAUAGUUUACUUUUUAAGGAAGAGAGUAGAAGAAACACAGGUAGAAAGAUGGAGUUCUCUUGUGGUGCAGCGGAUUAAAGAUCUGGCACUGUCACUGCAGUGGCUGUGCUGUGGGUCUGAUCCACAGCCCAGGAACUUCCACAUGCUGUGAGCACAGCCAAAAGGAAGAAAGAAGAGAAGGAAAGAAAGGAAGGAAGGGAGAAAGAAAAAAAGAAUAUCAGCCACAAAGGUUGAAACAGAAAGAUUCGUUGAUGAAAUUCUCAGUUACUUAAAAAAUUGAGGGCCUUGGAACUACAAGCUCCAAUGAACCAAGGGCUGUACCUCUUUGCAUCACCACAGUCAACCCAGCUCCAAGACCAUAAUAGGUGCUCAGUUAAUACUUGCUGAACGAAUGAAAACUAAAAUUAAUCUAAAUACAGUAUUUAGUCAAGAAUUUUUCUUGGAGGUCCUGUCGUGGCUCAGUGGUAACGAACUUGACUAGUAUCCAUUAAGUAUUCAGGUUCAAUCCCUGGCCUCGCUCAGUGGGUUAAGAAUCCGGUGUUGCCAUGAGCUGUGGUGUAGGUUGCAGAUCCCGAGUUGCUGUGGCUGUGGUGUAGGUCAGGAGCUACAGCUUCAAUUCGACUCCUAGCCUGGGAACUUCUAUAUGCCACAGGUGCGGCCCUAAAAAGACACACACACACAAAGAAGAAGAAGAAGAAAGUUUUCUUGUUCUAUUUCAUAUAGCCAUUCUUUCAUCAUAUACGUGAUAGAACCUGUUUUUCAAUUAUUUUAAUAGAUCAGAAUAAGAGAGGAUAAUUAAUAAAAAUAAACACAAUACACAUAAUAAGCAUUAAUGACACUAGUGGUUAUGAUAAUACUGGCAUAAGUGGAAAGAUAUUUUACUUUUGGCAAUGUUAAAGGGUUUUCUCUGAAUGGGAUAUACACACAGGACUAAAAAUAAUCGUGCUUUAUGGUGCCAGAAUGCUUGACAAUUUACAAGAUGCUUGAACAAAUGGGAUCAUAUUUGCUCCUCAUAAGAAAGUAGAGGAAUAUAGCUAAAGGAAAUUAUGUGUAUCACACUUUUAUAAGAAAAUAUCUAACGGUUGAGGAAAUACACCAGCUUUCAAAAAGAUUUCUGGUUUGUCAUUAACAAUAACAACUCACCUGAUAGCAUAGGCAAGGAUAGAAAAGAUACUUUUUAUAAUAAAGAAAAAAUGAUGCAGUUCCCUUGUAGCGCAGUGAGUCAAGGGUCUGGUGUUGUCACCACUGUGGCAUGAGUUCAUCCCUGGCCAGGAAGUUCUGCAUGCCUUGGCCAAAAAGGGGGAAAAAAAUGAAAAGAAGGAACCCAGGAGUUCCCGUCGUGGCGCAGUGGUUAACGAAUCCAACUGGGACCCAUGAGGUUGUGGGUUCGGUCCCUGCCCUUCCUCAGUGGGUUAACGAUCUGGUGUUGCCAUGAGCUGUGGUGUAGGUUGCAGACACGGCUCGGAUCCCACGUUGCUGUGGCUCUGGUGUAGGCCGGGGGCUACAGCUCCGAUUCGACCCCUAGCCUGGGAACCUCCAUAUGCCUCGGGAGCGGCCCUAGAAAUGGCAAAAAGACAAAAAAAGAAAAGAAAAGGAGGAACCCAUAAUGGCAACUUUCACUCACUGUGAUGAUGACAGACCUAUGUUAUUCAACCUGGGACAGCUAUAGAAUACGGUUCCAAGAGCUAAGUAAUGAGAGGCUGGAAGUGAGUAAUGACACUCAAGCUUUGGAAGUCUAGUUUCGGCUCACUGAAGAGGAAUCAUUACUCUACUUCCCAUUUAUAUUGCAUGAUAUUGAUUGUCGUGCAAUUUGAAAUAGCUGUAACUUUGGGAAUCCAGAGCAGACAUUGGAAAGAGAUCAAGAGGCUCGGAUAGUCCACGGGGCAAGGGGUGCAUAAAACCACGUGGGGGGUCUCAGGCAGUCCCGAGUCUCUCUUUGUGACACAUGCUUCUCAUUCUUGCUUCUUUGUUUCCAAGAGUGUUGUCACUGGCUAUCUUGCUGGAGAGUCUGGAGAGUUACUCUGGAAACCUGUAUAAUAUUUCUCCUUAAAUAGAAAAAAAUCCAUCUUUUCAAUAGGUGACAUAUUUUAAAGUAUUUUCUUUCUUUUUCCCCCUUUUCAUAAAAGUGACAAGUCCAUCCUUCAAAAUGUUUUAUUUAUUUUUGAUUUGUGUGUGUGUGUGUGUUUAGGGCCAUACCCAUGGCACAUGGAAGUUCCCAGACUAGGGGUCGAAUCAGAGCCACCGGCCUACACCACAGCCACAGCAAUGUGGGAUCUGAGCCAUGCCUUUGACCUGCACCACAGCUCAAGCAACAGCGGAUCCUUGACCCACUGAGCGAGGCCAGGGAUGGAACCUGUCCUCAUGGAUACUAGCUGGGUUCGUUACCGCUGGGCCAAAAAUGGGAACUCUCAAAAUGUUUUAAACAUUAUAGAAAUAUAUAAAAAUGUGGCUUUGGUCAUCAUUUUACUCAUUAAGGUGGAAAGCAGAAGAAAUAAGAAAGUUUCACUUCCCUCCACCCUCAAGGUAACCUCUGUCAGUAAAUCAGUACAAGAGCCAGCAGAUCUUUCUUCUAGGCACACACUUAAUUAGGCAAUAAUUUUUAAAUACCUCUGGACUACACUUUUGACAGCUAUCUUAAGUCAGGAAGUAGUGAGAAGAAUGACCAAUAUGUGAUCCUUAUCAGAUUUUAGAAAGAAUUCAAUCCCAUACUUUAAACAGGGAGAAAUUGAAGCUCCAAAUAAAUAGCUGGUGGAAUUCCCAUCGUGGCUCAGUGGUAAUGAACCCGACUAGCAUCCAUGAGGAUGCAGGUUUGAUCCCUGGCCUCACCUAAUGGGUUAAGGAUCCUGCAUCGCCAUGAGUGUGGUGUAGGUUGCAGACCCGGCUAGCAUCCUGAGUUGCUGUGGCUGUGGUGUAGGCUGGCAGCUGCAGCUCCUAUUCAACCCCUGGCCUGGGAACUUCCAUAUGCCAGGGAUUCGGCCCUAAAAAGACAAAAAAAAAAAAGAUUUAAUGGAAAAAAGCCCGUCAGUGUUUGGAAUUAGCUAGAACUGGGGCUAUCAAGUUCUGGGAACUGCAAUGCUCACAGGUUUCUAGCUGUCAAAAUUUGAAAUAGAAUCUAAAGGGGCCAAAAGGUUUGAAAUAAAAAUGCGGUCAGAGGCAUCACUGGUAUGGACUUUGAGCUAAAACAAACACCAACAUAGCAACAGAGCCUGUCUCAGAUGGACUUGCUUUCCCAGCAGCCUCUUUGGCUGCUGAGUUUUAUCACAUUUUUCUAAAAGAGAAUGAUGCUUCUGUUGAAACGGCAGUCCUGCUGCUGUUACAAAGAGCAGUGUUUUCAGACUUCCUGGUCACCGAUUUCCACCCAGAAAUGCUCCGUCUUGCUCUUUUGGAAUUAGUGUCCUUGUCCCCCAAGACUCUGUGCUCCAAAUGUUUGCACCUCUCCUAUGGGAGCCGGUAUCAUGCAGUCCCAUAGAAACCAGUCCAGGUGAGAUUUCAGGGUUCCUAGGACAGACCAGUUCAUCAGAUUGCACCUGAAAUACCUGUGUGCACUAUAGAAAUACAAGAACUCGGGCAACGUUGUCUUUAAAAUACAUUUUGUUUAAGCAUUUUAACUCGGGAUGCUUGGAAUGUGGUUCUAAUCUCUGGGCCAGCGACUGUCCAUCCUUGCAUCAGCCAUGUUUCCUAGGGUCUGGACUCACCAUGUCCCAGGACCUAGGACAGAGCAAGGCACAGGAGGCUGGGGCCAGUGAGGCCUGGGUUGUAACCCUCUUCACAAGCUCGCCUUGUCCAAGUAGCUCUCAGUCCCUCCACUCCAAGGUGUGCAUCUGACACGGAGCCUCAAAAUGCAAAUUGCUCACCCCAGGCAAAGAUUACCCACUGGUUUGCUUUCAUUGUCUCUAUUGCCCUCUGUUUACUGGGAAAGUGAGCUUUCAUGUAGGAAGGAGGAAAGUUGUCCUGUAUUGGGGAAGUUAGAAAGAUGGCAGAAGUUUGUGACCUAAAUCCUCAGGAACAAAAGCAGGUAAGUGUCCAGCAGAGUUCGUAGUUAUUGCCUCUAAAUUGGGGCAGGCUCCAGAUGCCAGGAGGCUGCCGUUUCCCUAGAUUUAAAGAUAUUUUCUCUCUCUUCUGUUCCUACAGUAAAUAGUAAUAUAAUCCUUAAAAUAAAUUUAAAAAACCUGUGCUUUUUUGGCGGGAACAGCAAAAAGGCGGAGCAUUGAGGAGCCAGCACUGUUCCUCUCUAAACAGUCUUGAGAGAACAGGAUUCCAGAUGUUAAAACGGAUGAUGUGGAUUUAAGAGGUGGGAACUGCGAGGCAGAGAGAAGACGGUCUCCAAGUGGAACCCGCAGCAUCGGCAUCACCUGGGAGCUCCUUAGAUUCACACGGACUCAAAACCCACCCCAGCCCUCCUGAAUCAAAAACUCUGGCCAUGGGGACCAGCAAUGUGUGGUCAGAAACCCCUUCCAGGUGAGUCUACCAGUCAAGCUCAAGUUUGAGGACCCACUUGGCGGUGGACUUGACACAGCUGCUUUUAAUUCCUGGCUCUGCUACUUAACAGCUGUAUGAGUUAAGCAAGUUAGUUUCUCAGAGUUUAUGGUGUCGACUGAAAAGACACACCCUAAAAGCCAAAUUAUGUUUCACUUGAGGACCUUCCUGAGGACUGUAGCCUAAGAAUCAACCUCUAAGAUAGCUCUGAGCAGCAACUGUUCCAAAGAGGGAGAGGAGGAGCCAGGAUAUAUAGGAGUUUUUGCUGGGGGGGGGGGACCAGAAAACACGUGGUCGAACAUCAAAAGAUUACUGCUCAUCACAAACCAACCCAGACAUCUCAAGGUAAUUACUUUAGUGCUUUUCUUUUUAUGGGAAGAUGCAAGAGUCUGGGCUCAUUGAAAUUAUUCCUUUGAUAUGCAAUUUAGCUCUCUAGGGCCAGUAUGCUGUUUCUUUCCAUCCUGAAUUCCCCUCAGGGGGCAGCGUUGGGGUGACUGCAGUGGCUGAUGGCUUAAUGGGAGGUAACAUUCAUUGUUGACCAGAAUGGCAGACAACAUUCUUUAUUUACUGAAAUGGCAGGCAAUAUUUUUUUCCCCGGUCCGAGAUGGAGAAGAUUAAAUUAGAUAAUCUGUUUGAAGCCCUUAGGGCAAUGCUAGACACAGAAAGCACUCAAUAAAUGUUAGCUGCUAAGGCCACCUUUAUGUAAUGGGGGAAGGAUAAGUCUCAGGACUUUCAACACAUUAGCACAGCAUUUGCCAAUUAAAAGGGCUCUUUCACAUUCUGACAUUGUGCUUCUGUUGCCGAAUCUCAGCUGCCGAAUCUCAGCUGCCCCAGGACAAAUAUAAAAGUGGAGGAAGAGUUGGAGGAAAGGGAAAAAGUAGCUUUAAUUGCCAGACAAAGAGGGGAACCCAGCAGGCUAGAGCCUCCAGGACUGGGCCUCCCCUCUGAGGUACAGGUAGUGAGGAGUCUUAGAGUGUUUGAGGAGCAGGGCGUGAUCAGCUCAUGGGCAUUUUCCUGAUUGGUUGGUUUGUGGUGAGGUCACUGGGAGUCAGCGUCAUCAACCUUCUGGUUCCAAC
RNAcentral lists this long non-coding RNA (6546 nucleotides) under Sus scrofa (pig). RNAcentral's name for it is "lncRNA (ENSSSCG00055021199.1)". Lineage: Eukaryota; Metazoa; Chordata; Mammalia; Artiodactyla; Suidae. The record is from RNAcentral.